Molecule: long non-coding RNA, 4249 nt
Filed under: Oryzias sinensis (Chinese medaka)
Lineage: Eukaryota; Metazoa; Chordata; Actinopteri; Beloniformes; Adrianichthyidae
Description: lncRNA (ENSOSIG00000020463.1)
Source: RNAcentral
GUUGUUGUUUUUUUGGUUCAGAGGAGGACGGAGAUGAGGGGACGGAUUGUGAAAGAGUUGAGAGGAAAGAGAAAGAAAAACUACAAGAUUCUGAAGGUCAACCCCUUUCAGCUCUUGAAAAGUUCUCUUCUCAGUCGAAAAGCUCUUCGCAUUUCAUUUUUCCAAAGGAGUUGGAGUGGAACCUGCCUCCCCCUCCUGUUCCACCUCCCAUCAACAAGCAUGGGCUGCCGGACAGAGCUGCAAGUCAAGGUUCUGACCCAAAAUGCCUUGAUUCAAAAAAUGUCAAUGCAGAGCCAUGAGAUGCUGUGAUGACAUUUAUAUGUACAAAUAAAUAUCCGAUGCUUGGAAGAAUAAACCACCUGAACACCAGAACAUGUAAAAGUGUGGGAAAAGAGGAUUUCCUAAAGGUGUGUCAUGCCUGUUCUUAGGUGAUGAGGGGCUGAGGCCUCAGGCUCCAGUGAAACCUCAGAGGAACAGGAAGGCGAUGUCCUGUGAUGCAGGUACCAUCACAUUUUCAUAUCCUUCCUUUCCAAAGAGUAAGAGCACUACUUUACGUUCAUUUACAAAGCUAUGACUGAGAAUGUAUACUAAAAGUACAAAAAGGAAUGUUGAUUUUAAAACCAGAUUUACUUGAGACUUCUUGAGCAUCCAGUGUCUUUUUUUGCAUUGUGUCAGAUUCCUGAGCUUUAAAGAUUUGUGUGUUCUGCUUUUGUUUGUGUGUGCAUCUGAAUCUAACUGUCUAUCUGUGUUUCCUGUCACUCAUUGAACUCAGGCACUGACAGGGAAAGCCCUAAUAACCUUGAGAAGCCCCAACAUCGCAAACCCCCAGUGAAAAAACCUAGACUGCCACAGAACAGAAAUAAGUCUCUGGACUUGUCUGGUACAUGUCUCCAUGUUUCUAUGUGUGUUUGUGUGUCACUGACAUGAGGGUGAUUUCUCACCGAGCUGUGGCAGAUUGCGAGUGGAGGCACAAAAUUACAAAAAAAUAGUUUCUUAAUUGAGAUGGCCCAGGGCGGCCCUUUUGCCUAUUGUCACUUCCUGUGAGCUGGAACCCAGCUGGGCUUCAGAAACCUGCUGAGCAGCUUCCACUCCCCGCCAGUGAAAGGAUCGGAUCAGGUCCUAACAGAAAUGUUCUUUCUAUUCAGGAAAAUAUCACUUUUGUUGCAAACUAAAUUACUAUAAAAACCCUUUUCAUGCUGAAAAAAGUAACAGACAGAUUCUGUGUCUGCUCUAGUAAAAUGAGGAGGAAAGAAAACAGUUUUGUUGCCACACACUUUCGAUUUUCUAACAUGUCUGGUGUCACAGGACAGUUUUAAAAAUUACAUUUAAUGUUUAUUCAACCAAAUCAUUUGAUCUCUGCAAGUUUUUUUUUUAUUUUUUGGGCUGCAUGGUGACGCAGUGGUUAGCGCUCUUGCCUCACAGCAAAAGGGGCACCAGUCCUGGCAGGGGACCGACUGGUGCCCUGAAACACAAUCACCAAUGGGGUGUUGAGUUUGCAUGUUCUCCCCGUGUUUGCUUAGGUUUUCUCCAGGCAUUCCGGCCUCCUCCCACUGUCCAAAAACAUGCUUCAUAGGUUAAUUGGUUAAUCGAAAUUGUCCCUAGGUGUGAAUGUGCGUGACUGUGGCCCUGCGACUGGCUGUCGACCUGCCCAGGGUGUUCCCCGCCUUUGCCCAACAGUGGGUGGGUUAGGCUCCAGUGACCCCGUGACCCCAAAAGUGAUCAAUGAAUGAAAAAUGUUCAUUUGGUUUUGUGAACAGAGCUGAGUACAUUUCCUUUUUUGUAUACUGUCCAUUAUACUUUACAUCUCUUAGAUUGACUGCUAAGAGAUGCUUUUUAACCUAAGAUAUUGAAACAAACGUUUUAUUACAAAUAAAACAAAGGCUUUAUUUUAGAUGUGUUUCCAAUUCGGUCAAAUCCUUAGGCAUAAUUCAAAACAACAAAUUGAAAACAAAUACGCUCCUAUCAAAAUGUUACGCAUUAAUUAAGUAAUUAGUUAAAUUUUGCUCUUAUUCAUUGUUUCACAGAUUUUUUUUUACCUCUAUGUGAGCUUUAUUACUCUGAAGUUAGAUUACUUAACUUUAGUAAAAAAGGAAAUUCUCAUUUUAGUCUCCAACUCUUUGUGAUACAUUGUGGACACAGUCAGAGACUUCUGGACUGUUUAGAGGGAAUGUUUGUUACAAAUUUUACAACAAAAUUACGAUGAUUUGAAGGCGUUUUGAAUGUCUCCUCUCAAAUGCCCAGUGAGAUAAAACCCUUAAUGAAUAGAAGGAAGGCUUCUAACAGCUCACAGCUGCAAAGUCAACGUUAAUAAGUACUAACAUCGGCUUUUUUGUGUGUAUGUGUGUUUUUUUUUCCUCACAGAGAGCAUCCCCUCGCCACCUGAUCAGAGUGAGCUGUUAUGAUGCUUCAGACGUCCACUUAUGGUUGUCAUGACAUCUGUGGAGAAUUUCAUGCAGCAGAUAAACAAACAGGAGAGAAAACACGACAGGCAUUAUAGAGCAGCAGUCAUGCAUCCCUGCUCCAACGCUCACUUUCUCAUCCCAACCACGUCUUGUCCUUUUGCUUUGCCUUCACCUGCUCAACUUUUUUUGUGGCGUCAGUCGUUUAUCAGCAUUUGCUUCUUCAGCAAAGCCUAGGUGUGCUCCGAUGCUUUGCUAGAAAGAUGAAAAGUUUUCCUCAGUAGAAUGUGAUUUCUUAAACUUGCGGUGCAUUAAAUCGUUAAUCUGGUUUGGUUGCCUUGAUUGACACUUAAAAUGAGUUGCUUCUUAUUAAAUAAAACUUGAUGAUUUAUACACAGUUUUGCUUUCAGGAACUGAAAGGUGAUAUAUUUUAUAGAGAAAACAAAUAUUAUGUAUGAGCUCCUUCACUGUAUGAAUAAAACACAAGAAAAAAAAACUGUGACUUAAAGCUACAUUUUCUUUUAUUGUUUGUUUCAGAUUUACUUUAAGAUGAUGUGCAUCCUCAGCAGCCACGUUUUUUAUUGUGUGGGGAUAUUGAAUAAUAUAGAAAAGGUAUUUUUCCCUUCUGCAAGGCUAAAGACAUGUUUUUGGGAACAAAGCAAAAACUGGGCGGAGGCUCCAGAUAAGACCCAGGACAAGCUGAAGAGGCUAUGUCUCUCUGCUGGCCUGGGAACGCCUCGGGGUCCCCCCAGAAGAGCUGGAGGAAGUUUCAGGGGCAAGGGAAGUCUGGGCAUCUUUGCUUAGACUGCUGCCCCCGCAACCCGGUCCCAGAAAGGAGGAAGAAGAUGGAUGGAUGGAAAACAAAGACUGAUCUUUGGGAUCUGUUAUUAGAGGGACAUAGCUCAAUUUAGCAAGAUUACAUAAGAGUGGACUGGUACAACAAUAAAAGUGCCUUAAAAACUGGAAUUAACAAAGAUUUUAAGUCUAAACUCUAUGUUUUUUAAAGGAACUGUUACCAUUUGCAGCUUUUUGAAUGCUGAAAAAAGGACAACCGACAAAAAUCUGUCUAAACAGUUGAUACUGUACAAAAAAAGACGUUUUAGAAAAAUAGGAAUCAUAAUGGAAUUGCUUCUAAUUAGUGCAGUAAUCUUGUGAUAUCUCACUUUGAUCCCUAAAAACAGAAGUCAUUAAAAUGACAGGUUACCCAGUCUGGAUUUACUGUAACAAGCCUCCAAAUCCCUGCUUUGAUUUGGUGUGAUCGUGCGUUGAUGAUAAAUUUACCUCCUGUCUUCAGAAAUCCCCCUCCAGUUGGCAUGGCGAUGUGGGGCACCGUCACGUCAAAGAAUGUGAAACAGCAGGGGGCGUCUGAUUCCUGCAGAUGAAGCAAUCACUCACAGAAAUACACAAACACAAGAGAGGCGGUCUCACAGGUUGUCAUUAGCAACUGGGCUGUGACCUUUUUCCCUAAGAUAAAAAAAUAUAUAUAUUUGUGUUUCAGCUGCUAAGAUGCAGGAAAAGGUUUUUUUUUUGUGAGAAAUGUUUUAGGAGUAUGAGGAGAUGAAGAAGCCGUUUCCGAUGACUGAGAUUCAUCAUUGCAUUCAUUUUGCAUAUGCAAAUAUUGUAGUUCAUCACUGCUUUUCAUAUCAGGAAAAUCCCCCAGAAGAUUUUGCUUUCAAUGAUACAAGAGUUGUUAAUGUCUGACAUUAUAACGUUUGAAUCUCUGAUUUAUUUCAAAGGUAAGUGUCAUGGCCUGAAACCACUUUUUAAAGCAGAUCAUAGCUUUAUAACCUGAAUAUGAGCUGAGCCUCUGCAUCAAUCCUACAGAAAAUGUGGGAUUUCCUAUCUCUGAC